GACAAACUCCGAAUGCCAAUUAAUUUAACUUGGGAGUCAGAACAUGGGUGAUAAGGUCCGUGUUCGAAAGGGAAACAGCCCAGACCACCAGCUAAGGUCCCAAAAUAUAUGUUAAGUGGAAAAGGAUGUGGCGUUGCCCAGACAACUAGGAUGUUGGCUUAGAAGCAGCCAUCAUUUAAAGAGUGCGUAAUAGCUCACUAGUCGAGUGACACUGCGCCGAAAAUGUACCGGGGCUAAACAUAUUACCGAAGCUGUGGAUUGUCCUUUGGACAAUGGUAGGAGAGCGUUCUAAGGGCGUUGAAGCAUGAUCGUAAGGACAUGUGGAGCGCUUAGAAGUGAGAAUGCCGGUGUGAGUAGCGAAAGACGGGUGAGAAUCCCGUC
RNAcentral lists this ribosomal RNA (381 nucleotides) under Staphylococcus aureus. Its description in RNAcentral is "partial 23S ribosomal RNA". It matches the Rfam family "Bacterial large subunit ribosomal RNA", at positions 948 to 1334 of the family's 2925-position model. Lineage: Bacteria; Bacillati; Bacillota; Bacilli; Caryophanales; Staphylococcaceae. The record is from RNAcentral.